This 2149-nucleotide long non-coding RNA is filed under the name Homo sapiens (human). RNAcentral's name for it is "HSALNT0225856". Lineage: Eukaryota; Metazoa; Chordata; Mammalia; Primates; Hominidae. The record is from RNAcentral.
AUCAUGACAGUUUUAUUUGUAAUAUCCCCAAAUGCAAGCAAUCCAAAUGCUGAACAGGUAAACAGACAAGCAGAGUGUAGAAUAUAGAAUAUACAAUGGAAUAAACAAUUAUGAACUAGGUAUACCUGCAACGAUAUAAAUGAAUCUCAGAAUAACUAUUGAGUAGGGGAAGCCAGACUGAAGGAAAGAACGGAUGUUCCUUUUUAUGGCCGCUUAGCAUUCCAUGGUGUAUAGGUACCACAUUUUCUUCAUCCAAUCCACUGCUGAUGGGCAUCUAGGUUGAUUCCAUGUCUUUGCUAUUGUAAACAACGCUUUGAUGAACAUAUGGGUGCACGUGCCUUUUUGAUAAAAUGACUUACUUGCCUUUGGGUAUAUACCUAGUAAUGGAUUGCUGGGUCGAAUAGCAGUUCUAAGUGCUUUCAGAAAUCUCCAAACUGCCUUCCACAGUGGCUGAACUAGUUUUUAUUCCCAGCAAGUGUAUAAGGGUUCCCUCUUCCCCGCAGCCUCACAAGCAUUGGUUGUUUAUUGACUUUUUCAUAAUCGCCAUUCUGACCGGUGUGAGACGUUAUCUCAUUGUGGUCAUGUCCUUCGCAGCAACAUGGAUGGCAGCCAUUGUCCUAAGGAAUUAACCCAAGAAUGGGAAACCAAAUAACGCAUGUUCUCACUUAUAAGUGGGACCUAAACAUUGAAUACACAUAGACAUAAAGAUGGGAGCAGCAGACACUGGGGACGACUAGGGAGGGAGGGAGGCAGGGAGGGAGUGGAACAGAACGUGGGCUGAAAAACUACUACUCACUACCUGGGUGACUGGAUCAUCUGUACCCCAACCUUCAGCACCCUGCAAUAUACUCAUGAAACAAACCUGCACAUGUACCCUUUAAUCUAAAAUAAAAGUUGAAAUUGUUUUUUUAAAAAAGAGCACAUAGUAUAUUAUUCCAUUUACAUAAAAUUUUAGAAAACACAAAUGAAUGUGUUGACAAAUCAGUGGUUGCCUGGAGAAGGGGGAGUGCAGAGAGGUACAUGGGGAAUAAAUUAUAAAGGGACUGGAGGAGAUGUUUGGAGGUGGUGAAUGUGUUCACUAUGUUGAUUGCGGUGAUGAUUUCAUGGACGUACACAUCUGUAGAAACGUUGGUGUGUACAUAUGUUGUAUUCUCAAAUUGUCCACUCUGAGUACGAGCAGUGGGGAUUAAGAGGAAAAUAAUAGUAGAGAACAAAAUCAGAGCUUGGCAUGGCUCUCUGCUGGCACCGUGCAGGGUGUGAUUACAUCAGAUCUGUGCAACUCAGAUCUUGGGGAGGGGUUGGGGGGUGGAAGGUGGAGGGAGGAAGGGAGAGAAAACAGAGGGCGGGAAGAAGGGAAGGAAGUGAAGAAGGGAAUGAGGGACGGAAAGAGAGAGACAGCGAAGAGAGGAGAAAGGCCAGUGAAGGAGUGUGGCUCCGAUAGGAUUGACAACUACUACCUUAGAUGAUGAAUCAAGCUCAGAAGGGAUCCCUCUGGAUUUCCCUGCGGUGAAGAAACCGAGGCAAUGAACAAAGUAAUAUACCCAAGAUCACAUUGCCAGUGAAUGGGAGAGCUGACGUUUCAAUCUACACAGAACCUGUGCUCUUAGCUAUCUAACCGCUUUACUUGGAAGUGAUGUGAGAUUAAAAAAAGAAGAAAAACAAAAUAUUUUCUUAUGCUUUCAAAAAGUUCAAAAUUAAUAAGGGAACCGUUUCUCCAUGGGGACAGGAGCUUCUGGAAGGCUGGACCCAAUCAUUACAGGCUCAGUCCAGGGCCUUUCCUUCACACCAACUACUGCAGGUACAAACUGUCUAACUGAUCCAGUUCUUAUUUAACUUGUCUCAGUUACUUCGACUUUAUCACUCACUCAGAGAUAAGACAACUGUCAGUCCUCUGAGCCUAAGCUAAGCCAUCAUAUCCCCUGUGACCUGCACAUACACAUCCAGAUGGCCUGUUCCUGCCUUAACUGAUGACAUUAUCUUGUGAAAUUCCUUCUCCUGGCUCAUUCUGGCUCAAAAGCUCCCCUACUGAGCACCUUGUGACCCCCACUCCUGCCCACCAGAGAACAAACCCCCUUUUUCCUUUACCUACCCAAAUCCUAUAAAACGGCCCCACCCCUAUCUCCCUUCACUGACUCUCUAUUCGGACUCA